CUCCGGAAACUUCAAGAACCUCUUCUCGUUUGCAAUGCUUCAAUUGUAAGGGCUUCGGCCAUAUCUCCUCUAGAUGUCCGAGUCGAGCCUUAGUUAUUGACGAGCGAAAGGAUGUCGUUGAUGAGCCUUUAGAAGAUCAUGUCUAUGAGCCUAACUUUGAAGAGUUUGACGAUUUGGGUGAUAAUGAGGAUACCUUCUUAGGUUGCCUUCAUACCCUUCUUGUAGAUCUAGGUCCUACUUAUCUGGUCCUCGAC
RNAcentral lists this long non-coding RNA (254 nucleotides) under Olea europaea (common olive). RNAcentral's name for it is "long non-coding RNA (OEUR_LNC010300)". Lineage: Eukaryota; Viridiplantae; Streptophyta; Magnoliopsida; Lamiales; Oleaceae. The record is from RNAcentral.